Molecule: ribosomal RNA, 460 nt
Filed under: uncultured bacterium
Lineage: Bacteria
Description: partial 16S ribosomal RNA
Rfam family: Bacterial small subunit ribosomal RNA
Source: RNAcentral
CCUACGGGAGGCAGCAGUGAGGAAUAUUGGUCAAUGGACGAGAGUCUGAACCAGCCAAGUAGCGUGAAGGAUGACUGCCCUAUGGGUUGUAAACUUCUUUUAUAUGGGAAUAAAAUGUUCCACGCGUGGCAUUUUGUGUGUACCAGAUGAAUAAGCAUCGGCUAACUCCGUGCCAGCAGCCGCGGUAAUACGGAGGAUCCGAGCGUUAUCCGGAUUUAUUGGGUUUAAAGGGAGCGUAGGCGGAUAGUUAAGUCAGUCGUGAAAGUUUGCGGCUCAACCGUAUCAUUGCAAUUGAUACUGGCAGUCUUGAGUACAGUUGAGGUAGGCGGAAUGCGUGGUGUAGCGGUGAAAUGCUUAGAUAUCACGAAGAACCCCGAUUGCGAAGGCAGCAUACUAAACUGUGACUGACAUUGAUGCUCGAAAGUGUGGGUAUCAAACAGGAUUAGAUACCCGAGUAGUC